Molecule: unclassified non-coding RNA, 1181 nt
Filed under: Schizosaccharomyces pombe (fission yeast)
Lineage: Eukaryota; Fungi; Ascomycota; Schizosaccharomycetes; Schizosaccharomycetales; Schizosaccharomycetaceae
Description: non-coding RNA (predicted)
Source: RNAcentral
CUGAUGCUAAUAAGAUAUUCAACUCUGAGCAAUCAAUGCCAAACUACCUCAAAUAGCGCAAAUGCGUUACGGUGUUAGGUUUUGAAAUUCGCUUGUCAAUCCGUUUUAAUAAACGUGGAUCCUUUGAACAAUCCAAUUAUAUUAGGCAAAUGGUAUAGCCUUGAUUUUUAGUGUCGGUAAAAGGAUGUACCUAAUCAGCGAAAAACUCAAGACAGGAAAAAAAGUUCCGAGGCUUUGUUUUAGCGUAGAUAGUCGAGCAAGCCGUCAGCAAUAGACUCGGGAAUUUUUCUUUAAAACCUCAGAAAGGUUGCAUGAGUUUGUGGUACCGAUCGUUAUAGUUAGUUUUGUAAGCACACAAAAUUUAGUAAUGUACUUGUCGCUUAACUUAAUACAAUGUUUGUUUCUGAAACGAUGAACCAGGUUUCAGCUUCCUAAUUGUCGGUACAGAGGAUAAACUUGAUUUUUUAUAAUCCAACUUGGAACACAGUUCAAGCAAUCGUCGUUUUUGUAUAUCGAUAAGCAAGUAGGAGGAGCUCAGGCUUUAUUAGAAAAGAUGCUACAGAUAACACCAUUCAAAUGUGUCAUUCGGUGUUAAAAACACAUAAAAAUUACUGUCAAAGUAGACCUGAUAAAAUCAGUCUAAAUAACCAUAAUUGCAAAGAUAUUCGUUAAGUGCCAAUAUGAAUGACUUUACCAACAAUAAGGUAGCCAGUUUAAAUCAACCGUUAUAGACCCUGUCAAUUGAAGUUUUAAGCAUUGGUUCAUACUGACCCCUUUCCAAAUUACUAUGGAUUAUUUGGCCUGAGGUAAAUCCCAACUCUUUUGCUCAUUUAUGUCUAAUUGACAACGAUUUAUUUUUGUUUGAGCUCACUCUCUCAUCAAAGUGUUUUCUUAAACCGAAAACUCUUACAAGGGAAUCAAAUUAAUUAAAAAUUAUUUUUGAAUAAGAUUUUGCAUGGCUCAAUAAAAUAUGUGGUAUAUGGUUAAUGAUAAAACAUUAUAGAGAAAGCGCGUCGCGAAUUAGCUUGUAAAAAAAUGAUGUGCCAAGCAAACCUUCUACCACCAAAUGGAAAUUUCCUUUCCUCUUACACAGAAUACUCAUGUAUUUUAGAAUAGCGUUUUAUUUAUGAUUGAUUGCAAUUGAAACGCGUAAAAUCCAUUAAAACGCUAUUGUCAGACGC